Schistosoma haematobium is the source of this 45-nucleotide non-coding RNA. NCBI's taxonomy places the organism in Eukaryota, Metazoa, Platyhelminthes, Trematoda, Strigeidida, Schistosomatidae. The record is from Rfam.
AUCCAGAUAAUGAGUCCUAAAUAGGACGAAACGUGCAUCCUGGAU